This 882-nucleotide long non-coding RNA is filed under the name Triticum aestivum (bread wheat). RNAcentral's name for it is "long non-coding RNA (TAES_LNC013776)". The record is from RNAcentral. Lineage: Eukaryota; Viridiplantae; Streptophyta; Magnoliopsida; Poales; Poaceae.
GAGUUCCUCGGGUACCUAUUUAUCCGUUAAACUCAUCGGACAUCUAUUGUUUCUUUAACUCGUUUGCAUCUACAUGUACCGCAGUUAUGAGUUUGUGCCAAUCUAGUAAAUCAUGGAUCCUCGUUGAAGAAGUCCAUGGAGUGAGCUAUUCAGAGCCGAGAGCACGCCUUUGGCCUGGAUUCUUCGCUGUAUUUGUACUGUACCAUACAUAUUAUGAUUUUUCUUUGCGCGUGAUCUUGCCCUUUUCGGGCAAGAAACUGUACUGUUUAUGAAUAAUGCCGCUUUUCCUGCUGCUUGUAAUUUAUGUUAAUUCAGCGUCAUAUAGACAUCGCUACUGGUGACCGAAAUAUUUUGCAAUCCUUCAUUUCCUCGGAUCUUUAUCGUGCUAGUGCGUCCGAGGAACUACAACAUUUGGAGUUGGUUCCGUUACAGGAUUUCUGUUGCAUAAAAUCCAUGCAGUUUCAGUUACACUUGUAGAACCCCAUACCGAACUUGAGAUUUUGGGCCGCGAAUUGCCCGAAAUCUUCUUGCUUCUUGGAAGUGGGCGGCGGUGGCCGCUUAUGCAGCCAAAACAGGGGAGAAGGGGCAUCCAUGUGAGCAGCAAAACAGAGCACACACACGCAUGUGAUUUUAUCUGUUUUAGAAACUCCUAAUUGUGCUGCGUGGCAGAAAAGCAACUCCAAGUAAUACUCCCUACUUGACAGUUAUAGUGCUUAUAAUAUCUGUAAGAAGUCAAAAUUCAUAAAUUUGGAUUAAGUUAAUAGAAAAUCCAUCCGAUAUUUUUGUGCAAGAAUACAUACAGAUACUUACUUUUCAUAUUCUUGAGCCCCCGGAAAGAAACAUUUUUGAAGGAACGAACUAUACCAACUAACUAAAAAAAAA